This 274-nucleotide ribosomal RNA is filed under the name uncultured bacterium. RNAcentral describes it as "partial 16S ribosomal RNA". It matches the Rfam family "Bacterial small subunit ribosomal RNA", at positions 523 to 796 of the family's 1533-position model. The record is from RNAcentral.
AUACGGAGGGUGCAAUCGUUAAUCGGAAUUACUGGGCGUAAAGCGUACGUAGGCGGUUCGUUAAGUUAGAUGUGAAAGCCCCGGGCUUAACCUGGGAACUGUAUUUAAAACUGGCGAACUAGAGUUGAGUAGAGGGGAGUGGAAUUUCAGGUGUAGCGGUGAAAUGCGUAGAGAUCUGAAGGAACACCAGUGGCGAAGGCGGCUCCCUGGACUCAAACUGACGCUGAGGUACGAAAGCGUGGGUAGCAAACGGGAUUAGAAACCCUAGUAGUCC